UCAAAAAUAUGACUAUAUUGUCAAGUGAAAAUAACCCAACAAAUUAAAAUGUCAAAUUUAGUGUUUGUAUCGAUGUUAGUACUACUUGUUGUGUGCUUGAAUAUUUCAACAAGUUCAAGUGCUAGAAAUCCAGUGAGUGUAUCACUUUCUAAACCUCACCUAAAUGAGUCCAAAAUCAACAUAUUAUCUGUUACAUUAAUCAAUGAUUUGUCUCCUGGCUCACAAGAAUUAACUAUGCAAUGCAACUUUUAUGAUGGUGCACGCCGAUUAGAACCAGGACAUUCUUGGUCGCUUAUAUCUAACUUUAAACAAAAAAAAUGUGAUUUGAGAUGUGGGCCACAUCAUUUAGUGUUCUACUUAUACGAUUUCGACAAGGAAGGAGGAUUAAGCCAUCAACGUGUUUUUUGGUCAGUGAGGUACGAUGCUAUAUAUCAUAGUUGGGAUAAUGUUAACUGGGAAAAAAGGGAACUUUGGGAUAAUGAAUGAAUUCUACUUUACAUUUCUUUUGGGAUUCAUUUUGUAGCUUUUAUUCUAAAUAAAAUAAAAUAAUGGGUAAUCUGUCUUCUUAUUCUCAUAUGGAUUUGAUUGUGUGUAUGUUUUCUUAUACAUGUAAUUUUUGUUCAAUUGAUCAUCGAACGUGUUAGUAUUUUGGAUUUAUUUUUUAAAAUAAUCCCAUUUUUUAAUAGAAAAUUUCAAAUUACCUUUUUUUUUCAAUCAUAUGUCAAUUUAUCCUCUUUAUAUCAGCUAUCAAUAUAAGAAAUGAAAAUACAAGUAAAAAAUUAAUAUUAUUUUACUCAUUUUUAACCAUUAUUAGAAUUUAAGGAUAAAAACAACAGUUUAUUUAAUUCAAAUUUUGCACCGUUUUCUAAGAGCCUAAUACAAUAAAUUCAUUUUGUGGAACAACUUUUGAUAUACUCUUCACUUUUUAUUCAUAAUAAAUAUUUGUAACUAAUAUAUAUAAUUAUAUAUUUUUUGCAACGAAUUGUAUGUAAAAUAUCAAUGACGCGUCACUCAUGUGAGAGUAUAAUGUUAGUACUUAGUGAAAAGUGAAACAAAUCAUGCUAUGAUGCGGAAACUUGUAUUGAUAAUAUUUUUCUUUUGUUAAUUUUUUUAGUUUUAAUCGGAGCUCUCAUGUAUGAACCAUCAUUGGGUUUUUUAGUUGUUGUUAAUUUAAUAUUAAUGCAACUAAAAAUAAAAAAUAAAAAAAACAAGUUAUUUAUUUAUGAUUGAAAUGAAUACAUUGAAAUAUUUUUUUUACUCUUCAUAUUGUCACAACUGCUCAACUUAUCUACCACAUAUUUAGCAAUUCAUUUAGAACUUUUUGAACUAUUAUUAAAAAUUUGACCACAUGUGUGAUCACCACACUAUUUCUUCAUUAUGAAAUUGUGACUUUCCCCCACUUUACUUACUAAGUAGUAAGAACCUCCAUUUAGCCUUGCAUAUGAUCCUUACUCUUGCAUAGGGGUGGGAAUAGGUCAGGCUAAGCCAGACUUUGAAAGACCUGAGUCUGGCCUAAGAUUAAUUUUUUAGAACUAAGUCUGGCCUACAGCCUACCAUAUGCUCUUUUUUUUUUGUCUGGCCUGACAUUUUUAAAAGUCUGAUCUGACCUAGAAACCUAUUUCCACAUACCAGUAUCAAUGUACAUAUCUAUAUAUAUUAAACAAAAAAUAAUUUUUCUAACAAAAUAUUUUUUUUUUUUAAAUUUGAAACAAACAUUCUUUAAACCAUAAAACAUAAUUUUUUGUUUCAAAAAAUAGAUUUUUUUUUUCUGAAACAAAUGCACCCAUUAUUACCUCUCAAAUAAAUAUGGAACGACUACUGAAUGAUUGAUUAAUUGAAUGACUACCAAAUAUGGAGCCUGAUUUCCAUCCCAUUUAAUAUAGUUCAUUCUCUGAUUGCAUCCUUAAACUCAACAAGUGAUUUAAACUAUAGUCCCAAUGUGAACUUGCAAUUUUUGUUUAGCUCCUCCUGUUGAGACAACAUCUCAAUUUAAUAUUUUGAUGAAAACAAACAAAAAGUUAAUUAAGAAUUCUAAUUAUGAUUCUAAGUGUUUUGAUAUUUAACAUGUGUUUUUGAGUAUGUUAAAACAAGAUAGGUAUCAAACAUCACAAAUCAGAUCAAAGAAAGCAGUUCUGGAAAACGCAGAUUGAUCUUGAAGCAGUUCUGGAAAACGCAGAUUGAUCUUGAAGCAGUUCUGGAAAACAAACAUCAAUCCUGGAAAUAAUUUUCAUCCUAUACUCUCAUAUAAUCAACAAAAGAUCCAUCCAAGUCAUAUAUAUUCCAGAAUUUGAAGAAUCAAAGGCAUGCUUCAAUAAAGGCAUAUCACAUGUUGAGACAAAAUCUCAAUUUAAUAUUUUGAUGAAAACAAACAAAAAGUUAAUUAAGAAUUCUAAUUAUGAUUCUAAGUGUUUUGAUAUUUAACAUGUGUUUUUGAGUAUGUUAAAACAAGAUAGGUAUCAAACAUCACAAAUCAGAUCAAAGAAAGCAGUUCUGGAAAAAGAAGAUUGAUUCUGGAAAACGAAGAUUGAUCUUAAAGCUAUUCAGGAAAAUGAAGAUUGAUUUUGACCUUCUGCUGAGAAACGAUUAACGAUCUUUGUUUAUGGCAUAAACAAGGAUAAUCAGGUUCCUUGUAAAAAGAUCAAUCUUGGAAACAUCAUUCAUCUUAUAUUCUCAUAUAGAAUCAGCAAAGGAUCAAUCUGAGUCACAUUUGUUCCAGAAUUUGAAGAAUCAAAGACAUGCUUCAAUAAAGGCAUAAUACAAGAUCAUUCUUCAAAUGAGGCAUUUACAAGUACAAGUUUACAUGCUGUAAAGUACACCUAAGUUGUACUUCAAUCCUGGCAUGCACACAAGAAGUCAUCUCAGUCAGCUGACAACAAUCACAAAGUACAUAACAGAUCAUCACAAAUUCGAAGAUCAAUCCUGGUUCUCAAGAUCGAUCUUGGAUGCAGCUGUGAUCACUCUUGUUUUUGACAGACUUUAUCCAACAGCUUUUUCAUGACAGCUGGCCCUAUUUCAACGACCAUAUGAGUUGUCCCAAGCCUUCUUGAAAUCUAUAAAUGCAGCUUCAAGAUGAAGAACAAAGCACAACUCAAAGUACCAAGCAAAAGAUCAAUCAUUUCAAUCAUACUCAAGCAUCUCAAUAUCAUUCUUAAAGAUUGCUGUUUUUAAUCUUUGUGUUGUGUUAGAAUCAAUCACAACUGAGUUCUAUUUACAGAAUCUAUUUCUCCAACAAGAGUUGAGCAAUACUAAGAUUCUAAUACUCUUAAAAUCAUCACUUUGUUUUAAAAGGUAUCUAUGCAAAAUCCUUUCUAAAAUAGUGUAAGGUAAACCUGUGAAAAAUCAUUUCUAGGUAGAAACCGUGUAAAGAUCAAGAUUGAUCCAUGAAAACCAAGAACGAUCUUGGUUUGAACACUUAGUGAAAAAUCUCACGGUUGUGAGGACUGGACGUAACCCGGGUUGGGUGAACCAAGAUAUAUCCUUGUGUGAUCUCUCUAUCUCUAUCUCUAUUUAUUUUAUGCAUUACAAUCAGAGUUUAUAUUGAUAACAUUGAUAUUGCUGUUUUUUACUAACCAAGAUCAAUCUUCGCUAUAACCAAGAUCAAUCUUCGUUAUAACCAAGAUCAAUCUUGAGUUGAAUUUUCAGUUUUAAGCAGGAAUAUUUUAAAAGGGGCAAUUAUAAUUCAAACCUCCAUUCCUUGUUAUUGACAUUGUUUACCUUCACCUCCACCUUAAAUUGAUCAUACUUUGGUCUCUUCUCUUUGUCUGAAUCAAAAUCAAGGUCACUACUAUCUAGUUCUUCAUUGACAUAAGCAUACUCCAUUUCAAUAUUAUAAUUAUAAUUGUCCAACAUAAGUGAAGUAACAACGUCAAUUUACAAUGAAUGAGGUUUGAAUUGUAAAUUCACCUAUUUAAAAUUUUCUGUUAAAAACUUAAGAAAAUAACUCAAUUGAUCUUGGUUGUGAAAACAGAGAACGUUCUUGGUUAGUUAAAAUCAAUAGUUUAGCUUAUCUAUUUAACUUGAUAAUCAAAAAGACUGAAAGUAAAUAGAGAUAAAGGAAGAGAUAUCACACAAAGAUAUAUCCUGGUUCAUCCAAAUCGGGCUACGUCCAGUCAUCACAGCCAUGAGAUUUUCCACUAAACGUUCAAACAGAGAACGUUCUUGGUUUUGCAUACUUUUGUUCAUACCAUCCUUGAUAUGUAACAACAAUUCAUUUUCACCCAUAAAGGGAUUCAAUCAGGCCACCUAUUAAUCUUUAGAGAGGAUUUUAAAUUCACCUUUUAACCAUAAAAAGAUUUUCUACAAACUAUAAAUAACCCUUAUAGUCUUGAGUUUACACAAUAAUGAUUUAAAGAUAUUGGUAGAAUAUGAGUAUGCUCAACUCGUGUUUGAGAAUAAAUUAUUGGUAAAAUAAUUCAGUGGAAUGAUUAUGAUAUUUGAAGAGAAAACAUAACUGAAACUUUUGCGAUUUGAGAAGCUUUCAAGUAUGUAAGUGAUGAAUUUUCUUAGCACUUGAAGUUCUUCUUUUCCUUUGAGUUUGAGGUUCCUUUUAUAGGCUUCAAGGAGGUUGAUAACAACUAUUAUGACCGUUGGAAAGGUGCUCAGUUGUCAUGUGUCAGAUUUGACCAAAGAUUAAACUUUUAAAACCAUGAAUGCUCUUGACUUGAACAUGAUGUGUUUUUGCUUCUGUGAUAAUAAUGUAUGAUAUGUAGCUUCUCAUCUUGAUUGUGAUGAUAAUUUGUUUAUGCACACAAACAUCUCAGAGAUGUGCUUAAUGUAUUCAGAUUACGAUUGUCUUUUGAUUCGUGCAAAAUAGGCUCGAGAAUGAUGUACAUAUGUUGGAGAAUGAUUUUUAAUAUACUAGAGAAUGAUGUUAUCAUUUUAGGACUAAUGUUAAAAUACUGGAGAAUGAUGUUAUCAUUCUGGAGACUGUUGUUAACAUGCUGGAUAAUGAUGUCCGCAUCAUGGAGAUUAAUUGUAACAUGCUGGAGAAUAUUUAUCAAUCUGAAGACUGAUGUUAUUAUGUUGAAGAAUGGUCAUUUAUCACUUUUGCUUUGAGUCAUGCCUUUUAAUCUUUGAUCUUUUAGAGUGUUUCUUUUGUUGAUAUGAGAGUUGUGCAUUCCUUGUAGAUGUACUGGAAAUACAUUCAUAAUUUGCAGGAGCUUUUCUGACAUUAACAGAUGAUUUGAACUUGCUUGAUGAAAAAGCGUGGAGAGCAUUCUUGGGUUUUCAGAAUGUGUUAAGAACGUUCUUGGUUCUGUUUUAUUCAUUUUUUGCUUUUUCUUUAAAUUGAUUUUGCUUGCAUUGUUUAAUAAAUAUCUUGAAUUAUUACACUCAAAAGCACAUGUUAAAUUAACAUAUUAUUUAGAAUCAUAAUUAGAGUCUUUAAUUAACCUUUGUUUGUUUACAUCGAAACAUUAAUUUAAGAUUUUGCCUCAACAAUAAGAACAAUCUCAAUGUUCUUAGUUGUUUUCUUCGAUAUGGACCUAUUAGCAGUAGUCUUCAACAUUAUAUGAUCCAACAUAAUGGUCAUUUAUUGUAUUAUCAAUAUCAAAACUAUCAUCCAAGUCUAGUGCUCUCUCAUCUUCAUUAUCAUCAAAUUUAACACCAUCAACUUCAUUUUCACUGUUGUCACUAUCAUUGACACUUCCAUCAUCAUCAACAUCACUUUCAUCAGCACCAUUUAAUCCCCCUAGAAAACUAUUCCAACUCAAAUCUUGGUUGUGACCCAAACAACCCUUUUAUAGAGUGCGCAACAUAUAACUGAGCUUUGCAAUUCAUUUUUAGAGCAUGUUCACCAACUUCAGAUGCAUCUUUACCAUCACUGUUCUUUUAAAGUUUUCAUCUAUACUACGUUUUUGAACUUUAUAGGCCUCUUUACAAUAUUUAUCAAUUGUACCAAGCAGCCAAUUUUAAUAUCUAAUAUUGGACUAUGGAUUGAAAUUUCCACCGAAGAUUUUACCAAUGCAACAUUUAUUAUUAUUUUUCAUCAAAAUAUUUUCAUUUAUUGAAUUUCACUCUAUUUAGUUAAUUAAUGUCGGUUACAUGUUUGAAAUUAAAAAUUCACACAGAAAAUUGCUAAUUUACAUUAUUUUUAAAUUUAAUUUUCUAUCAAGUGACUGAUCGAUAUUUUUAAAAGAUUAUUUAUUGUUAUACAUAUGUGGCACUUAUUUCUUUGUGUAGUUUGUUUAAGUCUAACAUAUUCCUUUUAUGCAUUUCAUAAACAAAUGUUGAAUAAUUAAAUAUUUGUUAAAUGAACAUCAUCAAGAAUUAGAUAUUGUUUAUUCUUUUUACAAAAAAAAUUGAUAUGAAACUAAUACGUGAGUGGUUAAAUAAUUGUUUGAUUACUUAUACAAACAUAUUUUUAUUGACAUUAAAAAUGAGAAAAUUAUUCAAUAUUUUAAAAUAUGUAAAACCACAAAAACUAUUACGAUGAUGUAUAAUUAUGCUUUAAAAAAAAUAAAAUUUUAUAUAUAUUUAGUAUUCUAAAUUUAUAUAUAUAUAUAUAUAUAUAUAUAUAAAUAAUAAUUGCUCCUGUGAUCUCAUAUAUAUUUUGUAUUCUAUAUAUAUAUAUAUAUAUAUAUAUAUAUAUAUAUAUAUAUAUAUAUAUAUAUAUAUAUAUAUCGAUUCUAUCACUCAAAAUAUUUAGUAUAUCUCUAAGUAAAAAAAUAUAAUAUUACUUAAUAAAUAAACAUAAUGAAAAUCUUAAACACAUCUUUUUUGUCAAAUACAUUUGAAUUUUUCUUUAUUAUUUAACAUAGAUGGUUGUAAGAUGAUAUGCGCCCUCCUAUAUAUACAGUUCCACCCAAAAAUAUAGUUGUGAAGUCCAAAUACAACAGAUUAUCUAUUUCAAUAGUCAAUGAUUUAUCACUUGGCUCACAACAAUUAACCAUGAAAUGCAGCUUUUAUGAUGGUGCACGCCUAUUAAUACCAGGACAUCGUCGGAAGUUUCUAAGUAACUUUGAACCCAGAAAAUGUGAUUUGAGAUGGUUACGAGAAAACGGACCACAUUAUAUAAUCUUCAACUUAUAUAAUUUUGACAAGGAAGGAGGAUUUAUUCAUCAACAUGUUUUUUGGUCAGUGAGGAACAAGGCUAUAUAUCACAGUUGAUAUUAUGUUAACUGGGAAAAAAGG
This 7131-nucleotide long non-coding RNA is filed under the name Cicer arietinum (chickpea). RNAcentral's name for it is "long non-coding RNA (CARI_LNC001093)". Lineage: Eukaryota; Viridiplantae; Streptophyta; Magnoliopsida; Fabales; Fabaceae. The record is from RNAcentral.